Molecule: non-coding RNA, 963 nt
Organism: Chelmon rostratus (copperband butterflyfish)
Lineage: Eukaryota; Metazoa; Chordata; Actinopteri; Chaetodontiformes; Chaetodontidae
Source: the annotation of a RefSeq genome assembly
AUGAGCUCACUGGUUCUACUGCUGGCCACCCUGGGGCUCCUGGUUCAGGGUUCAUCAGGACAAAUCACCCUGACUCAGUCUCCUGAAUCUCAGUCUGUUGUUCCAGGACAGACUGUCUCCAUCAGAUGUAAAACCAGUUCAGAUGUUUUUAGCUAUCUCCACUGGUACCUUCAGAAACCUGGAGAAGCUCCUAAACUCCUGAUUCAUGAAGCUACAAGCCGUCAGUCUGGAGUUCCAGGUCGUUUCAGUGGAAGUGGAUCUGGGACUGACUUCACUCUGACCAUCAGUGGAGUUCAGGCUGAAGAUUCAGGAGUUUACUACUGUCAGCAGGGUUUCAGCCCGUUCACACAGUGAUACAACGUCGUACAAAAACCUCCCUCAGCUGGAGAGGAACUGAUCUGAAUCAAUAGCUGCACUCAAACUAAGACCACAACAAGAUAUGAACACAAUAUGUGUGAUAAUUACAGUAUUUUAAAACAAUGUUUCAUUUAAUCAAAUGUAUUUUCCUUGACAACAUUUUUAGGCGAUGGUUUAAUGAUUAACCUCCUCUGAGUUUGAGUCAACUGACGUCACCUCUUUCAUUCGUCAGGUUUCCAAACUGACGUCCAUAAUUAAUCACUGAGACAUAAAACUACAUUCAGAAAGCCAAAAAAACAGAAGCUGAUACUUUUACUGUGCAUGCGGACUGUCUCUUCAUCAGAGGCUUUACUAAUGAUAAAAUGAUGUUCUUCUAAAAUCAUAAUUUCAGGUGUGGAAACACAAACAGCAAUUCUUCCCCUGAAUGUGAUCCCUGCAUCCUUUUCAUCCUCACAGCAUCUGAGUGUUGGGCAAACUGCUGUCUCUCAAGAAAAGCUGAUUUAUGACAACCUGUGAGAAAACCUGUCUCUCACCAGAAGAGGUACGAAACAUCACCAUUAUUAAUCAGUGUGAGGUUUCUUUUUCGCUUAAAGUUUAAAUCAACAU